GGUGAUUCACUUGACAACUGCACUCGAUAACGGAUAACAGCAUUGACUCCCGAAGAUAAACUGUUAUCAGAGGCUUAAUACUCUUCCUUGGUAAAAAGACAGAGUUUAUCAAGGACUACCAGGUUUGAGAUGACUGCGAUUCCAUAACCAUUCAAGAGCAUUUCAGUUCCCUUGUUUCCAACAUGUUUGUGGACAACCAAUCCAGGGAUGAAGGUCACAAGAAAGCUGAAAUAGCCGUAGAGAGAUGUACUUUUUGGAGCAGAUUCUUGCACCUACUGUACCUCUUGAGCCGCAUUUAUGCACUGGAACUAAACUGUCCAAAGAAACUCAAAUACAACUUUGAGGUCUUUCAUAAGAGCUUCUUCAAGCUUGAUGACAAACAGUAACAUGUUCCCCAACGUCCACAAUCUCAAGGUCAGCUUAUUGGCCUAAAAGCCAUACAGACAUUGUUGAUAGUAGCGGGAUUUUGUUGGGUCACUUCAGUUAAAUUGUACUGUUCAGAUUCUUCAGGUUUACCAAAAGCACUUUUUUGAAAUUACAUUUUCACAUUUGGACCAUACUUGUGGGUUAGUUCACCAAAAAAAUAUUAAUAAAAAUUCUUUCUUCUGUUGAACACUAAAGAAAAUUAUUGAAAGAAAGCUUAUUCUGUAACCAUUGACUUCCACAGUAGGAAAAAAAACUAAUCUUUGUGUUCAACAGAACACAAAAAAGUUUGAAACAAGUAAAGGGUGAGAAAAUGAUGACAGAAUUUCUAUUUUUGGGUGAACUAUC
This is a long non-coding RNA of Danio aesculapii, 771 nucleotides long. RefSeq lists it as uncharacterized. The transcript is spliced from 3 exons. NCBI's taxonomy places the organism in Eukaryota, Metazoa, Chordata, Actinopteri, Cypriniformes, Danionidae. The record is from RefSeq and is a predicted model, not a curated record.